Lycium barbarum (goji berry) is the source of this 675-nucleotide long non-coding RNA. RefSeq lists it as uncharacterized. The transcript is spliced from 2 exons. The record is from RefSeq and is a predicted model, not a curated record. NCBI's taxonomy places the organism in Eukaryota, Viridiplantae, Streptophyta, Magnoliopsida, Solanales, Solanaceae.
UUUUUUGGACAAAAGAGGUAUUUAUUUACAUUAUAAGAAAAGGGAGGGGGCUAAAUGAAUGCACACAAGUUAUUAUACAUUUUUCAACUUUUCUCUGCUAAAGAAACCCUUAAAGGGUUAUCUCUUUUCCUCUUCAUCUUCUUGACAAAAACAACACCUUCUGAUCAUCUUUUCUGACGAAUUCAAGAUGUCGGAGAAAUCAACGACAACACCAAACACCCACUGCUCCUUCCCUUCCUCCUCUCUACAUCUCUCUCAUCUUCUUCUCCUUCACCGCAGCCACGUCGCCCACGCCAACGAGCUGGCCCAUCUCCGGUGUACUCCAUCAGAGCUCCGACGAGCUUCACCGCGGAGCAACCAACUAGCAGCACCAUUUUUGCCAGUGAGCCCCAUGGAUUCUGGUGAUUGCUGUGCUCUGUUGUGGUCUCAAUAUUGAUACCAUUUCUACGUUUCCAGUGACGUUUUGAGCUGCUAAUUGAUUCGUUCGUUCUUGCUUUUAAUUGUUCUUGCGCCAUUGUAAUUUUGGCCGCUAUUUUUGAGAUCUUCAGGCGACGAACUAUGUCGACCUUGGAAUUUUUUUGUAACUGCUUUGUCGUUCCAGUGAUACACUUCAUUGAAGCCUGCUAUGUUGGAUUGCCCUUUACUCUCUUUUACAUCAUUGUUUUACUAAAUAAA